Molecule: ribosomal RNA, 497 nt
Filed under: uncultured bacterium
Lineage: Bacteria
Description: partial 16S ribosomal RNA
Rfam family: Bacterial small subunit ribosomal RNA
Source: RNAcentral
GAUGAACGCUGGCGGCGUGCCUAAUACAUGCAAGUCGAGCGAACAGAUGAGGAGCUUGCUCCUCUGACGUUAGCGGCGGACGGGUGAGUAACACGUGGAUAACCUACCUAUAAGACUGGGAUAACUUCGGGAAACCGGAGCUAAUACCGGAUAAUAUAUUGAACCGCAUGGUUCAAUAGUGAAAGACGGUUUUGCUGUCACUUAUAGAUGGAUCCGCGCCGCAUUAGCUAGUUGGUAAGGUAACGGCUUAUCAAGGCGACGAUGCGUAGCCGACCUGAGAGGGUGAUCGGCCACACUGGAACUGAGACACGGUCCAGACUCCUACGGGAGGCAGCAGUAGGGAAUCUUCCGCAAAGGGCGAAAGCCUGACGGAGCAACGCCGCGUGAGUGAUGAAGGUCUUCGGAUCGUAAAACUCUGUUAUUAGGGAAGAACAAAUGUGUAAGUAACUAUGCACGUCUUGACGGUACCUAAUCAGAAAGCCACGGCUAACUACGUG